RNAcentral lists this ribosomal RNA (507 nucleotides) under uncultured bacterium. Its description in RNAcentral is "bacterial SSU rRNA". It matches the Rfam family "Bacterial small subunit ribosomal RNA", at positions 32 to 514 of the family's 1533-position model. The record is from RNAcentral.
AAUCAACGCUGGCGGCGUGCCUCAGACAUGCAAGUCGAACGCGAAAGUCCCCUUCGGGGGACAAGUAGAGUGGCGCACGGGUGAGUAACACGUAGGUAAUCUACCUUCGGGUGGGGAAUAACGCAGGGAAACUUGCGCUAAUACCGCAUAAUGCAGCGGCACCACAUGGUGACAGUUGUUAAAGCGGGGGAUUUUCGGACCUCGCGCCUGAAGAGGAGCCUGCGGCAGAUUAGCUAGUUGGUAAGGUAACGGCUUACCAAGGCGACGAUCUGUAGCCGGCCUGAGAGGGCGGUCGGCCACACUGACACUGACAUACGGGUCAGACUCCUACGGGAGGCAGCAGUCGGGAAUUUUGGGCAAUGGGCGAAAGCCUGACCCAGCGACGCCGCGUGAAGGAUGAAAUCCCUCGGGAUGUAAACUUCGCAAGAAUAGGAAGAAUGAACGAGCGCUAACACCGUUCGUGAUGACGGUACUAUUUGUAAGCUCCGGCUAACUCCGUGCCAGCAC